This 104-nucleotide small nuclear RNA is filed under the name Chinchilla lanigera (long-tailed chinchilla). Lineage: Eukaryota; Metazoa; Chordata; Mammalia; Rodentia; Chinchillidae. The record is from RNAcentral.
GUGCUCACUUUGGCAGCACAAAUAUUAAAGCUGGAACAAUACACAGAUUAACACAGCCCUUGUGCAAGGAUGACAUGCAAGUUUGUGAAGAAUUCUGUAUUUUU